UUAGGAAUAUUGCGCAAUGGGGGAAACCCUGACGCAGCAACGCCGCGUGAGUGAUGAAGGUUUUCGGAUCGUAAAGCUCUUUUAGUUGGGAAGAAUAAAUGACGGUACCAACAGAAAAAGCACCGGCUAACUCUGUGCCAGCAGCCGCGGUAAUACAGAGGGUGCAAGCGUUAUUCGGAAUUAUUGGGCGUAAAGAGCACGUAGGCGGUUUAGUAAGUUUGCUGUGAAAACCCACGACUUAAUCGUGGAAGUGCAGUGAAUACUGCUAGACUAGAGUACUGGAGAGGAGAACGGAAUUCCUGGUGUAGAGGUGAAAUUCGUAGAUAUCAGGAGGAACAACGGAGGCGAAGGCGGUUCUCUGGACAGUAACUGACGCUGAGGUGCGAAAGCGUGGGGAGCG
RNAcentral lists this ribosomal RNA (400 nucleotides) under uncultured bacterium. RNAcentral's name for it is "bacterial SSU rRNA". It matches the Rfam family "Bacterial small subunit ribosomal RNA", at positions 355 to 770 of the family's 1533-position model. The record is from RNAcentral.